This 497-nucleotide ribosomal RNA is filed under the name uncultured bacterium. Its description in RNAcentral is "partial 16S ribosomal RNA". It matches the Rfam family "Bacterial small subunit ribosomal RNA", at positions 28 to 507 of the family's 1533-position model. The record is from RNAcentral.
GAUGAACGCUGGCGGCGUGCCUAAUACAUGCAAGUCGAGCGAACGGACGAGAAGCUUGCUUCUCUGAUGUUAGCGGCGGACGGGUGAGUAACACGUGGAUAACCUACCUAUAAGACUGGGAUAACUUCGGGAAACCGGAGCUAAUACCGGAUAAUAUUUUGAACCGCAUGGUUCAAAAGUGAAAGACGGUCUUGCUGUCACUUAUAGAUGGAUCCGCGCUGCAUUAGCUAGUUGGUAAGGUAACGGCUUACCAAGGCAACGAUGCAUAGCCGACCUGAGAGGGGGAUCGGCCACACGGGAACUGAACCACGGUCCAGAGGCCUACGGGAGGCAGCAGUAGGGAAUCUUCCGCAAUGGUCGAAAGCCUGACGGAGCAACGCGGCGUGAGUGGUGAAGGUCUUGGGUGCGUAAAACUCUGUUAUUAGGGAAGAACAGAUGUGGAAGGAACUGUGCACAUCUUGACGGUACCUAAUCAGAAAGCCACGGCUAACUACGUG